Non-coding RNA from Pelobates cultripes (western spadefoot toad), 213 nucleotides. The record is from the annotation of a GenBank genome assembly. NCBI's taxonomy places the organism in Eukaryota, Metazoa, Chordata, Amphibia, Anura, Pelobatidae.
AGCACUACAUCCACCUGCCAGAGGCGUGAAUAUUUGGGUGCCGGAGGCCUUGUUAAUUUAGCACCUCGCAGUAGUCGACAAACCAGGGGAUCUUGACCCACUGGGCUGCCUUGUACCGAAACGUGUGCUGCCGAUAUGGCUGAUCUGAUCACAUUGAGGGAUCGAUAUGAUCGACCCAAAGAGAACAGAUGAGAAAGGUAGUUAAGGAUUAGG